AUGCUUAAAUUCCUGGAUGUAAACGCACACUUGUCUCCUACACAGGCCAAAAUACUAUUGGAGAUAAGGAUACCCGCGCUGCUGCUGUUGCGUUUGGUUAGGGAGGGGCUUCUUCGUCUGCUUUGCCGUGCGGUGGCUGUGCGGCUGCUUGUUCCUUCUUUGCUAGGUGGUAUUACCAAUAACCUAAAAAAAGGGCAGCCCGGUGCAUGUAGCUCCCGCUUGCGCAGGCUCCGGGGAAGGGUCCGACCACUUUGGGUCUAUUGGAUCGGCUUUGGUGGUGGCAGACGCUGGCAAGUCAUGGGGUUAGAGCAUAGGAAGCUGACAUGGCAUUUGAAACUUACGUGGUCAUUGAAGGGCUUGGCAACAGUGCUUACAGAGUCUGGGAAAGAAAAUAUGGAGGAAUAA
Molecule: ribosomal RNA, 405 nt
Filed under: Triticum aestivum (bread wheat)
Lineage: Eukaryota; Viridiplantae; Streptophyta; Magnoliopsida; Poales; Poaceae
Description: partial small subunit ribosomal RNA
Source: RNAcentral